Saccostrea cuccullata (small rock oyster) is the source of this 844-nucleotide long non-coding RNA. RefSeq lists it as uncharacterized. The transcript is spliced from 3 exons. The record is from RefSeq and is a predicted model, not a curated record. NCBI's taxonomy places the organism in Eukaryota, Metazoa, Mollusca, Bivalvia, Ostreida, Ostreidae.
CAAUGGUACAAAAUGUACCUAUGGGUAGAGUACCAGUCUGAUGGGCACUGAAGGCACCAUGCCUGGUUGAGCAGCGCAAGCACUACUGGCGUUUGUCUCUCGGAUCGUUUAUUAUAUACCUUUUGGUUGGUAGGUGCGAAUUACCUCACGCGCGAAUAACGAGCGGUACCGCCAGUAUUCGCGCGACAUUUGUAAACAACUUUGCACCAAGUAAACAAGGCUUUAAAAAGUAUUACAAACGCUGGAAAAGGAUGAAUUAUUGGUUGGGAAUUACUUUGGAGAUGAUGCCAAGUGUAUUUCGAGUUACAUCAGUUGAAUAACAAUGCCAGACGGCCAUUUGUUAUAACGAUGGGAUUAAUCAAUGGAGGAAAUUCGGUCCAUCCGUCAUCACUUCCUGGAUUCACUGAAAUGGAAAAGUCACGACAGGGACGAAUCACAAAUCUGCAAAUCUGCACACCACAAGUAUUCUGAUUUCAUCCAAAUCACAUUUUUAUACAGUUAACACAGUUACAUAAUAUAUUCCUUCAAAAUGUCCAAAAGGUCCAGCACACGUGACGACACAUCCAUUUGUUACGAAUUCAGCAUCACGGGGAAAUGGUCAGGAUACAUAUCCGGAAGUACAUCACUUGGCCUGGAAGGAUUCCUCAAGGUUGGGCUAUAUCUGAUGCCUUUGAUGGAGAAGGAGGAUUGGAAACGGGAGUGGCCAUCCUAUCAUCCUCCAAGUUAUUGGGUGAAGAUGACCGGGACCUACAAGUUACUUCAAAACUUUCUUCAAAUUCCAUGUUGUACAAAAAAAUGGACAAUUUCAAUAAAAUGUAUUGAAUUAAUAAAAUUGUACCUAAGU